GAGGUACUAGUAAAAUAUUACAUAACUUUGUCAAAGUUAAGUUACAGGCGAAAACCCUGUGUACCUUU
This 68-nucleotide transfer RNA is filed under the name Chodsigoa parva (pygmy brown-toothed shrew). RNAcentral's name for it is "tRNA-Asp". Lineage: Eukaryota; Metazoa; Chordata; Mammalia; Eulipotyphla; Soricidae. The record is from RNAcentral.